CAGAAAGGUGUCCACGGUGA
Molecule: non-coding RNA, 20 nt
Filed under: Arabidopsis thaliana (thale cress)
Lineage: Eukaryota; Viridiplantae; Streptophyta; Magnoliopsida; Brassicales; Brassicaceae
Source: RNAcentral